CACUCAAAAUGGAGCACAGGCUGGAUUUUUCCCCAUGGUUGUGAAGGCAGCUCCAUUUUGAAGAAGGAAGUUCAGUAAUUGCUGCCUGACAGACCUCCCUGUCAACUCUCUGGAUUAUCAGUGCUGGAUUGUUUGCUGGGAAAACAUCUAAAGUCAACAGAGGGAGGUACUGGAAAUAGCAUUCAGAUGGGCAGGGGAUAUCUAGUGGUCAGAUGGAAGCACAUGAAAGAGUCGUGCUGAAGCUGGGUAAGGAACCAUUUAACAGCUGUGUAACUGUGCCUUUUUUUUGGCUAUCAGAGUUUCCCUGGAGAUUUGGCCUGCUAGCCAGCAGUCAGCUUGCCUGCUGCUGGUAGAUGCAAAGGUUUUUCUGUUGACUUACCCUUGGCUUAGGCGUGAAAACCUUGCCUUGAGGUUGAGGAUAAAAUACUACUGCAUAGCAGAGACAUGUGGGUCUGAUUAGUUUCGGGCUAGAUAGGGAGAGAGGGUAGAUGGUUCUCAGUUGGAAAUGAAAAUAGGAGGGAUGUUUUGUUCUGGGAAAGUCAGUGCUUAGGCUGAGGCUUUUUCCAGACAAGUAUUUUGGUACCCAGAGCACAACAGAGGUAAAAUUAGGUCCUGUAGGCCAAAACUGUAAUGUCAACCUGCUGCGACCUAACUCUGCGGGUGUCUGGGUUCAGUAUCUGUCUUUGACCUCUCAGGUCUCUAAAUAUCUGGUUCAAUGCUUCUGUGUACCCUGUGCUGCCUUGCCUCAGUGAUAAGUAGGAUUGCUAGGUUCCCUAGCAAUGCUAAGUGCUGGACAGCAGCUCACGUGUGUGCAUGAAACACCAGUCAAGUUGAAACUGAAUCUCUCCCCAUAAGAAGUGAUUAAAUACAUUUUUUUGUCAUUGUCUUCUUUUUUCUUUUUCAUGUUGGUUUAGAGAGCUUUGCUUUUAUACUUCCCCGUAACACUUUAUUUUUACUUUUUAUUAUUAUUAUUAUUUCUUUUUGCAGUAAUCCUAUGAGAAUGGCCAUGGCUGUCUUCACUGAUGUGGAAGGAGGGCAGAAGCAAUGACUUCUGCACUGCUUUAAUUACAGAUCUCACUAACUGCCCUCCAAACCAGCAGGGUUUUCUUGGAGCUGUUUCUAUAAGCCAGAAUGUCCUUAUGUAACUGAUUUACACCUGAAAGGGUAAUUGCUUCCUGACUCUGCGCUUAAGUAUUUCUAAAACCCAACAGCAUCUCAUGCAGUUUCACCACACACCUCCUCCUCCCUACAAAGCUGGGCUUUCCCCACUUAGGAAAGUUUCCUGUAGCUGGAAUUGCUUGCCAACAUGAUAUAGUCAGGACCAGAAUGUCCAUCCUUCUUGAAAUAAUUGGCAAAAUCCACGCAAGCAGGCUUAAAAUGGCAGGACAGUGCACAAGAAAACACUCACAUGGGAGAUGCUCCUGCUGAACUGCCUAGUGCUGUUAUGACCCACACUUACAUGGUGCCAAAGAAGCAAUCAUAAAAGAAAAAAGCAAAACUAAUGCACCAGAAUGCCACUUUCCUGUGGCAGUCCCCAAGCAAAUUUGGCUCUGGCAAGGAUAGAAGAUAAUAACAGACCCCUGUUUGUGGGUGCACUGCUGUGGAGGUGCUGGUGCUCUAUAGUCACUUUAUGAGUGAUGUGACAGCUUCCCUGACUGAAGUAAUUCUGAGUAUUGUAACACGAGGUGUCAAGGCAGACAGCAGAAAACAUUUCAAUCCUUUUCAUUAGAACAAAGUGUUAUUCUCUUGACGGCUUUCAAAUGCAUAUUGUUUAGCUAUUAUGUGCUAACCUUGACUACCAUAUUCCAAGCACAAUAGCAAUGGGAGCUUUUUGCUUUUUUGUUUGGCUAGUGAUCAUGCUAAGAGGAUUUCUUUUUUGCAGGGUCAGUAAAUAUUCUGUUACAAAGGAAAAAAAAAAAAAAAAGAAAAAAGAAAGAAAAUUGAAAGGGUGUAUUUAUGUUACAGUAGCAGUGUCUGAGGUCUCCCCUUGUGCUUCAUAUGGCAGAGGUGGCUCUGAUGGUUCCCCAGUAUGGAUUUAUAUCCCAGUGGAACUUGUACUUCUCGUAAUCAAAGACUGUAAGUGUAUCCUGCCUGGACUGCUCAUAUUGCUGGUGAUAAGUGAUGCUAAAGUGACUGCACUGUCAGCUACUGGAAGCCUCAGGCAACAUGCAGCAGGCUACAUACAGGGCUAGCUGCCUUAACUGCUUUUGACAUUUCUUCUCUCUGACCAUGAGGUUGCUGAGAUGGGAAGAUUAAGUUGCUCGUGGAAGAAUGAGACCUGACACAGGUGUGGAUUGAAGCUUUCAGCUGAAAGAGAACACCCACGUGGGAAACUUCAGCUCCUUCAGUUAGCAUUUAACAGAAUCUGCAGCAGUUGAGAGCAGGGUCAUCCUUGCAUGUGGGCAGC
This is a long non-coding RNA of Tympanuchus pallidicinctus (lesser prairie-chicken), 2407 nucleotides long. RefSeq lists it as uncharacterized. The record is from RefSeq and is a predicted model, not a curated record. Lineage: Eukaryota; Metazoa; Chordata; Aves; Galliformes; Phasianidae. The transcript has 3 exons.